This 305-nucleotide ribosomal RNA is filed under the name uncultured bacterium. Its description in RNAcentral is "partial 16S ribosomal RNA". It matches the Rfam family "Bacterial small subunit ribosomal RNA", at positions 508 to 809 of the family's 1533-position model. The record is from RNAcentral.
ACAGCAGUAGCCGCGGUAAUACGGAGGGUGCAAGCGUUACUCGGAAUCACUGGGCGUAAAGGACGCGUAGGCGGGUUAUCAAGUCUCUUGUGAAAUCUAACGGCUUAACCGUUAAACUGCUUGGGAAACUGAUAAUCUAGAGUAAGGGAGAGGCAGAUGGAAUUCUUGGUGUAGGGGUAAAAUCCGUAGAGAUCAAGAAGAAUACCCAUUGCGAAAGCGAUCUGCUGGAACUUAACUGACGCUAAUGCGUGAAAGCGUGGGGAGCAAACAGGAUUAGAUACCCCCGUAGUCCCUGUCUCUUAUAA